Molecule: ribosomal RNA, 496 nt
Filed under: uncultured bacterium
Lineage: Bacteria
Description: bacterial SSU rRNA
Rfam family: Bacterial small subunit ribosomal RNA
Source: RNAcentral
AUUGAACGCUGGCGGCAUGCUUUACACAUGCAAGUCGAACGGCAGCACGGGCUUCGGCCUGGUGGCGAGUGGCGAACGGGUGAGUAAUGCAUCGGAACGUGCCCAUUUGUGGGGGAUAACUACGCGAAAGCGUGGCUAAUACCGCAUACGCCCUGAGGGGGAAAGCGGGGGAUUCUUCGGAACCUCGCGCAAUUGGAGCGGCCGAUGUCAGAUUAGCUUGUUGGUGAGGUAAAGGCUCACCAAGGCGACGAUCUGUAGCGGGUCUGAGAGGAUGAUCCGCCACACUGGGACUGAGACACGGCCCAGACUCCUACGGGAGGCAGCAGUGGGGAAUUUUGGACAAUGGGGGCAACCCUGAUCCAGCCAUGCCGCGUGAGUGAAGAAGGCCUUCGGUUGUAAGCUCUUCAGUCCGGGAAGAAAGGACGCGACUCUCUAACAUAAGGUGUGGAUGACGGUACCGGAAGAAGAAGGCACCGGCUAACUACGUGCCAGCACG